Phthorimaea operculella (potato tuberworm) is the source of this 72-nucleotide non-coding RNA. Lineage: Eukaryota; Metazoa; Arthropoda; Insecta; Lepidoptera; Gelechiidae. The record is from the annotation of a GenBank genome assembly.
GCGCCCGUAGCUCAAGUGGCAGAGCGGUGGGACGGUACCCCACGGUCCCGGGUUCAAGUCCCGGCGGUCGCU